RNAcentral lists this ribosomal RNA (495 nucleotides) under uncultured bacterium. Its description in RNAcentral is "partial 16S ribosomal RNA". It matches the Rfam family "Bacterial small subunit ribosomal RNA", at positions 28 to 507 of the family's 1533-position model. The record is from RNAcentral.
GACGAACGCUGGCGGCGUGCCUAAUACAUGCAAGUCGAACGCUGAAGGAGGAGCUUGCUCUUCUGGAUGAGUUGCGAACGGGUGAGUAACGCGUAGGUAACCUGCCUGGUAGCGGGGGAUAACUAUUGGAAACGAUAGCUAAUACCGCAUAAGAGUAGAUGUUGCAUGACAUUUACUUAAAAGGUGCAAUUGCAUCACUACCAGAUGGACCUGCGUUGUAUUAGCUAGUUGGUGGGGUAACGGCUUACCAAGGCGACGAUACAUAGCCGACCUGAGAGGGGGAUCGGCCACACUGGGACUGAGACACGGCCCAGACUCCUACGGGAGGCAGCAGUAGGGAAUCUUCGGCAAUGGACGGAAGGCUGACCGAGCAACGCCGCGUGAGUGAAGAAGGGUUUCGGAUCGUAAAGCUCUGUUGUAAGAGAAGAACGAGUGUGAGAGUGGAAAGUUCACACUGUGACGGUAUCUUACCAGAAAGGGACGGCUAACUACGUG